Molecule: long non-coding RNA, 633 nt
Organism: Trichomycterus rosablanca
Lineage: Eukaryota; Metazoa; Chordata; Actinopteri; Siluriformes; Trichomycteridae
Exons: 2
Source: RefSeq, a predicted model, not a curated record
GAUGAUGGACUAAUGCCUGUUGCAAUGUCUGUGUUAUCUGCUAGUCUGCAGAACUCUGAAGUGCUGGCUAACCUGGAUUCCUCUUUGCAACAUCUUUCUAAUGAUUCUUGUGUGGAACUGAAGACCUUGUUGGGUGGAGCCAAGAAAAUUCCUAACUACCUGUGCUGGUGAGGUUAUAAAAGGAGAAGAAAUGAAGACCAGAGAGAGAGAGAGAAAGACAAAGACUGAGAGAAUUGGUGGUGGAUGUAUUGUGUUGUGUAGUUGGCUGUUAUCCUUAGUGAAUUAGUGAGGUGCUGAGUAUUGUAAAUAUUGUAAAUUAUGAAUGUUAUUGCUUAUCUGUGUAGAUAAUUGUAAAUAUGGAGUGGGGUGUUUAUGUGAAUUCAAAAGAGCUGGAAGGGGGUAAGUGCCAUUUUGUUUGUAACCUUUUUCUCCUGGUUUUGUGUUUAGUUAGGGAGUCAGGAUAGAAACCUGUGUUUUGUUUCCUUUAUUUUUUGGUUAGGUUAGUAAGAGGCUUGGGUUUAAAGUUAGUGUGGGUAGUGUUUAUUAUUUUGGCCUUGCUUACCCCUGGAGAGAGAGCUUGGUUUGACUGUAUUAUUGAAUCUAUUGUAAAUAAAUUUGUAAUUGUGAAGUUCA